Molecule: ribosomal RNA, 429 nt
Filed under: Bacteroidota bacterium
Lineage: Bacteria; Pseudomonadati; Bacteroidota
Description: Bacteroidetes bacterium partial 16S ribosomal RNA
Rfam family: Bacterial small subunit ribosomal RNA
Source: RNAcentral
UAGGGAAUCUUCCGCAAUGGGCGAAAGCCUGACGGAGCAACGCCGCGUGAGUGAUGAAGGUCUUCGGAUCGUAAAACUCUGUUAUUAGGGAAGAACAAAUGUGUAAGUAACUAUGCACAUCUUGACGGUACCUAAUCAGAAAGCCACGGCUAACUACGUGCCAGCAGCCGCGGUAAUACGUAGGUGGCAAGCGUUAUCCGGAAUUAUUGGGCGUAAAGCGCGCGUAGGCGGUUUUUUAAGUCUGAUGUGAAAGCCCACGGCUCAACCGUGGAGGGUCAUUGGAAACUGGAAAACUUGAGUGCAGAAGAGGAAAGUGGAAUUCCAUGUGUAACGGUGAAAUGCGCAGAGAUAUGGAGGAACACCAGUGGCGAAGGCGACUUUCUGGUCUGUAACUGACGCUGAGGCUCGAAAGCGUGGGGAGUGAACAGG